AUAAAGUGGCGAACGGCUGAGUAACACGUGGGCAACCUGCCCUUUGCACUGGGAUAGCCUCGGGAAACCGAGGUUAAUACCGGAUACUCCAUAUUUGUCGCAUGGCGAAUAUGGGAAAGCUCCGGCGGCAAAGGAUGGGCCCGCGGCCUGUUAGCUAGUUGGUGGGGUAGUGGCCUACCAAGGCAAUGAUGGGUAGCCGGGUUGAGAGGCCGACCGGCCAGAUUGGGACUGAGACACGGCCCAGACUCCUACGGGAGGCAGCAGGG
RNAcentral lists this ribosomal RNA (266 nucleotides) under uncultured Atopobium sp. RNAcentral describes it as "partial 16S ribosomal RNA". It matches the Rfam family "Bacterial small subunit ribosomal RNA", at positions 90 to 354 of the family's 1533-position model. Lineage: Bacteria; Bacillati; Actinomycetota; Coriobacteriia; Coriobacteriales; Atopobiaceae. The record is from RNAcentral.